RNAcentral lists this transfer RNA (75 nucleotides) under Acidithiobacillus thiooxidans ATCC 19377. RNAcentral's name for it is "tRNA-Pro". The record is from RNAcentral. Lineage: Bacteria; Pseudomonadati; Pseudomonadota; Acidithiobacillia; Acidithiobacillales; Acidithiobacillaceae.
UGGGACCCAAUAGAACUGCAUAUCGCCUGCUUUGGGAGCAGGAUGUCGUAGGUUCGAAUCCUAUCGCCCCGACCA